Molecule: ribosomal RNA, 422 nt
Filed under: uncultured bacterium
Lineage: Bacteria
Description: bacterial SSU rRNA
Rfam family: Bacterial small subunit ribosomal RNA
Source: RNAcentral
GAAUCUUCCGCAAUGGACGAAAGUCUGACGGAGCAACGCCGCGUGAGUGAUGAAGGUUUUCGGAUCGUAAAGCUCUGUUGCCAGGGAAGAACGCCAUCCAGUUAACUGCUGGGUGGGUGACGGUACCUGAGAAGAAAGCCCCGGCUAACUACGUGCCAGCAGCCGCGGUAAUACGUAGGGGGCAAGCGUUGUCCGGAAUUAUUGGGCGUAAAGCGCGCGCAGGCGGUCUUUUAAGUCAGGUGUUUAAGCCCGGGGCUCAACCCCGGUUCGCACCUGAAACUGGGAGGCUUGAGUGCAGAAGAGGAGAGCGGAAUUCCACGUGUAGCGGUGAAAUGCGUAGAGAUGUGGAGGAACACCAGUGGCGAAGGCGGCUCUCUGGUCUGUAACUGACGCUGAGGCGCGAAAGCGUGGGGAGCAAACAG